CCUACGGGAGGCAGCAGUGAGGAAUAUUGGUCAAUGGUCGGGAGACUGAACCAGCCAAGCCGCGUGAGGGAUGAAGGUACAGAGUAUCGUAAACCUCUUUUGUCAGGGAACAAAGGCGGGGACGUGUCCCCGGCUGAGUGUACCUGAAGAAAAAGCAUCGGCUAACUCCGUGCCAGCAGCCGCGGUAAUACGGAGGAUGCGAGCGUUAUCCGGAUUUAUUGGGUUUAAAGGGUGCGCGGGCGGUCUGUUAAGUCAGCGGUCAAAGCCCGGGGCCAAACCCCGGCCCGCCGUUGAAACUGGCAGUCUCGAGUUGGAGAGAGGUAUGCGGAAUGCGCGGUGUAGCGGUGAAAUGCAUAGAUAUCGCGCAGAACUCCGAUUGCGAAGGCAGCAUGCCGGCUCCACACUGACGCUGAGGCACGAAAGCGUGGGUAUCGAACAGGAUUAGAUACCCGAGUAGUC
Molecule: ribosomal RNA, 459 nt
Filed under: uncultured bacterium
Lineage: Bacteria
Description: partial 16S ribosomal RNA
Rfam family: Bacterial small subunit ribosomal RNA
Source: RNAcentral